AUCCAACUGACAAGUCCCAAAUGGGACGAAACGCGCGUCCUGGAU
Molecule: non-coding RNA, 45 nt
Filed under: Schistosoma haematobium
Lineage: Eukaryota; Metazoa; Platyhelminthes; Trematoda; Strigeidida; Schistosomatidae
Source: RNAcentral